GACGAACGCUGGCGGCGUGCUUAACACAUGCAAGUCGAACGGAAAGGCCCUGCUUUUGUGGGGUGCUCGAGUGGCGAACGGGUGAGUAACACGUGAGUAACCUGCCCUUGACUUUGGGAUAACUUCAGGAAACUGGGGCUAAUACCGGAUAGGAGCUCCUGCUGCAUGGGGGGGGUUGGAAAGUUUCGGCGGUUGGGGAUGGACUCGCGGCUUAUCAGCUUGUUGGUGGGGUAGGGGCUUACCAAGGCUUUGACGGGUAGCCGGCCUGAGAGGGUGACCGGCCCCAUUGGGACUGAGAUACGGCCCAGACUCCUACGGGAGGCAGCAGUGGGGAAUAUUGCACAAUGGGCGGAAGCCUGAUGCAGCAACGCCGCGUGCGGGAUGACGGCCUUCGGGUUGUAAACCGCUUUCGCCUGUGACGAAGCGUGAGUGACGGUAAUGGGUAAAGAAGCACCGGCUAACUACGUG
Molecule: ribosomal RNA, 468 nt
Filed under: uncultured bacterium
Lineage: Bacteria
Description: partial 16S ribosomal RNA
Rfam family: Bacterial small subunit ribosomal RNA
Source: RNAcentral